GGCGGUAAGACAUUGACAUUUUAAGAAAUUAGAAAGGGAAAAUGAACUUAAGUAAUAACAUUUAAUAAACAUGGUAUAUAAAUUACCAAUUUGAAGACAUAACAAGUUAAAAUUCAUAAAAGUUUGACCAUUGUUACUACACGUUGUCAUGGUUGUGACGUGACGUUGUUGAUGAAAUGCAGUAGUUCUGGUAAGUAGGCGGGGCUUAUAGGUUAGUUGAGGUCAUUGACGUAUAAAGCUAACGUUUAUACGUAUAGCUUUAUCUGUAUAGUAAAAUAGCUGAUUGCAGUAUAAUUCUAUGUAUGUU
This 307-nucleotide long non-coding RNA is filed under the name Mytilus galloprovincialis (Mediterranean mussel). The record is from RNAcentral. Lineage: Eukaryota; Metazoa; Mollusca; Bivalvia; Mytilida; Mytilidae.